Non-coding RNA from Rhizophagus clarus, 70 nucleotides. Lineage: Eukaryota; Fungi; Glomeromycota; Glomeromycetes; Glomerales; Glomeraceae. The record is from the annotation of a GenBank genome assembly.
CAUCAGUAGUAUAGCGGUAGAAUACUCGUCUUCCAAGCGAGUGGCCCGGGUUCAACUCCUGGCUGAUGCC